Molecule: ribosomal RNA, 516 nt
Filed under: Simulium taitungense
Lineage: Eukaryota; Metazoa; Arthropoda; Insecta; Diptera; Simuliidae
Description: partial 16S ribosomal RNA
Rfam family: Bacterial large subunit ribosomal RNA
Source: RNAcentral
GUCUUUUUAGUAUUUAAUAUAAAGUCUGGCCUGCCCACUGAAUAAUAUUUGAAGGGCCGCAGUAUUUUGACUGUGCAAAGGUAGCAUAAUCAUUAGUCUUUUAAUUGAAGGCUGGUAUGAAUGGUCGGAUGAGAUAUAAGCUGUGUCAAAAAAAUUAUUAUUUGAAUUUAACUUUUUAGUUAAAAGGCUAAAAUAAAUUUAAAAGACGAGAAGACCCUAUAGAGCUUUAUACAAUAAAUAUUUAAGUUAUUAAGAUUUAUUAUAUUUAAUUUUUAUAUUGUAUUUUGUUGGGGUGACAAUAAAAUUUAUAAAACUUUUAUUUUUAUUUAACAUUAAUUUAUGGUUAUAUGAUCCAGUUUUAUUGAUUAUAAAUUUAAGUUACCUUAGGGAUAACAGCGUAAUUUUUUUUGAGAGUUCUUAUCGACAAAAAAGAUUGCGACCUCGAUGUUGGAUUAAGAGUAAUUUUGGGUGCAGAAGUUCAAAAUUUAAGUCUGUUCGACUUUUAAAUUCUUACAU